Molecule: long non-coding RNA, 391 nt
Organism: Dendrobium catenatum
Lineage: Eukaryota; Viridiplantae; Streptophyta; Magnoliopsida; Asparagales; Orchidaceae
Exons: 2
Source: RefSeq, a predicted model, not a curated record
AGGCUAUCCAACUGAAACUUCUGCAUCAAAAAAGAAGAAAUGCUGUCAACGAACAAAGAAGAGAGGGGAGAAAGGCUUCAUUGAAGGAUGGUAGGUGAUCAGUUUCUGAUUCCUUUCUUCACAUUUAUGCUAAAGUCUUGCCGCACUUUGUUGCUGUUGGCUAUGUGAGGAAUGCUGUGCCUGAAGAUGGCUGAAGGAUCAGUGAUGAUGAUAAUGAUGAUAUAUGUAAUGCUUAUAUAAAGUUAAUAUGUUCCUUAUUUGUAAGAGCUGAUGUAAUUUCUAGUUUGUGUUCUUAUUAUACAUGUUAUGAUGCUCACUUUAAUCUAGAUUUGUUUCAGGCUUCUAAUUGGAUUUCACAGCUUAACACAAUGAAUUAAAGAUACAUUUGAGA